AGUGAACGCUGGCGGUAGGCCUAACACAUGCAAGUCGAACGGCAGCACAGUAAGAGCUUGCUCUUACGGGUGGCGAGUGGCGGACGGGUGAGGAAUACAUCGGAAUCUACUUUUUCGUGGGGGAUAACGUAGGGAAACUUACGCUAAUACCGCAUACGACCUACGGGUGAAAGCAGGGGAUCUUCGGACCUUGCGCGAUUGAAUGAGCCGAUGUCGGAUUAGCUAGUUGGCGGGGUAAAGGCCUACCAAGGCGACGAUCUGUAGCUGGUCUGAGAGGACGACCAGCCACACUGGGACUGAGACACGGCCCAGACUCCUACGGGAGGCAGCAGUGGGGAAUUUUGGACAAUGGGCGAAAGCCUGAUCCAGCAAUGCCGCGUGUGUGAUGAAGGCCUUCGGGUUGUAAAGCACUUUUGGCGGGAACGAAAAGGACUGUGCCAAUACCACGGUUCGAUGACGGUACCCGCAGAAUAAGCACCGGCUAACUACGUG
Molecule: ribosomal RNA, 492 nt
Filed under: uncultured bacterium
Lineage: Bacteria
Description: partial 16S ribosomal RNA
Rfam family: Bacterial small subunit ribosomal RNA
Source: RNAcentral